GAUGAACGCUGGCGGCGUGCCUAAUACAUGCAAGUCGAGCGAACAGACGAGGAGCUUGCUCCUCUGACGUUAGCGGCGGACGGGUGAGUAACACGUGGAUAACCUACCUAUAAGACUGGGAUAACUUCGGGAAACCGGAGCUAAUACCGGAUAACAUGUUGAACCGCAUGGUUCAACAGUGAAAGACGGUCUUGCUGUCACUUAUAGAUGGAUCCGCGCCGCAUUAGCUAGUUGGUAAGGUAACGGCUUACCAAGGCAACGAUGCGUAGCCGACCUGAGAGGGUGAUCGGCCACACUGGAACUGAGACACGGUCCAGACUCCUACGGGAGGCAGCAGUAGGGAAUCUUCCGCAAUGGGCGAAAGCCUGACGGAGCAACGCCGCGUGAGUGAAGAAGGUCUUCGGAUCGUAAAACUCUGUUAUUAGGGAAGAACAAAUGUGUAAGUAACUAUGCACGUCUUGACGGUACCGAAUCAGAAAGCCACGGCUAACUACGUG
This 497-nucleotide ribosomal RNA is filed under the name uncultured bacterium. Its description in RNAcentral is "partial 16S ribosomal RNA". It matches the Rfam family "Bacterial small subunit ribosomal RNA", at positions 28 to 507 of the family's 1533-position model. The record is from RNAcentral.